GCGUGAUGGGCCAGCACAGGCCAUCCUUUUUGGCAGGAAAGAGAAUCAGAUUUCACUUUUAAGAGAGCGAGGGAAAAAAAAAUGUAUCGCAUUGGAUCGCAGGUGACCAGCGGCACAUUCCUAGCAUAUCAGACCUGUUCCACGUUGCAACAGGUGUUAGUUGCAACAAGGUCCGAACAGCAGCAGAGCUCUAUCUCGACAGGAUAUCCAAGAGACGGUUGGCGAGCGCGCAGCAGCCUGAUGCAAACCACGACCACCUGCCGCUGCCCGUUUAAUUUUUUACGUUGCGCGUUUGGAAGCGCCACAGGGCACACAAACAUGUCACGAAGAACUAUUCGAUCGUGAAGAAAAUGUGUAGACUACCCCCGCACGGUCGAUUCCGGUUCCGGGUCGCAAAGCACACGGAAUCCGUUUAUUUGUCUUAUUUAUAUUUUAAUGCUAUUUCCAUUUUAUUUGAUUUUUAUUGCUUUGCGUGCCGCAGCUCUUUCAAGUUCCGUGGUGGGGUCGGUCGACAAGCAAAAGAUUAGAGCGAUUCAAAGAAAAACAAUCGGCGGGAAGUUUAACUUUCUUGGCUAUUCACGCAAGAGAAAGACGGAAGACAAAAACAAAAUAAGGUAUUUUAACCGCCCAUAAUCAAAGCGGAUAGAAAUCCGUGAUUUAUCCCACAUCAUCCGCAUCUCUAUUGACGUAUAAUUGGCCGGCAGUCGUCGUUAAAAAAGAGUCCCGACUCUCUGAUGACCCCGUUAAUGCAUUCAUCAAGUAGGGAAAACAGCAACAACAAUGGGAAAAAAAAAAAAAAGAAACAACAAAACACAUCGAUUGGGUUCUUCAGACUUUCAAAUCCUCCUCCUAUUCCUCCUCCUCUUGUUUCCCCAAACCAUAAAAAAAAAAAAAAAAAAAGCUGUGGAAUAAACAACAAAACAUUUGCCUACACCGCACACAGAAAGCUCAAGAAAAAGAACGGCGAAACAAAAGCAUUUUAGGUCUUUUCUCUCUCUCUCUCUCUCUCUUCUGGAGACGAAAAAAAAAGAGUGGGCGGAGUGGGAGGUGAUAACGAUUUGAAACAAGUUUGCCUUGUGCGGAUGCCGACCGCUUCUCAUCCAACCCCCUCCAUCCGUGUAUAACUUCGUGCUUCCCUUUUUGUUUUAAAUAAAUAUUUAAGCUAUU
This is a long non-coding RNA of Daphnia magna, 1167 nucleotides long. RefSeq lists it as uncharacterized. The record is from RefSeq and is a predicted model, not a curated record. NCBI's taxonomy places the organism in Eukaryota, Metazoa, Arthropoda, Branchiopoda, Diplostraca, Daphniidae. The transcript is spliced from 2 exons.